UGUAGAUGGAGCAGACCAACAAGAAAUAAAUGAUUUUAAAGAAGAAAUAAGUCUCAUGAAGAAAAUUGGAUAUCAUCGUAACGUAAUGAAUAUGUUUGGCUGUUCGACAGUUAAAAAUCCUUUAUGUUUAAUUGUUGAGUAUAUGGAAAAUGGUGAUUUAUUGCAGUUUUUACGAUCUAGGCGUUCUAAACUUCGUUUUCCAAACGAAAAUGGACAAAAAGCUGGAAGCUUGAUAUACGCAUCAAACCAUUACAUUAAUGAGAGUACCGAAAUAAAAGAAACAAAUUUGAAUUCAGCUCAAGAUUUAUUGUCAAAUGAGAAUCCGUUAGAUGAUACUGAAAUUAUAACGCCCGAUGAUUUACUUAGUUUUGCAUGGCAAGUGGCAUCCGGAAUGGAGUUUCUUUCAAAAAUAAAACUCGUUCAUCGCGACCUUGCUGCCAGAAACGUAUUGGUUGGCGCAAAAAAAAAUGUUAAAAUUUCAGAUUUUGGUUUGUCACGAAAAAUCCAUUAUGAAAUGCAGUAUGUAGGCAGCAAAGUUCGUCGUUUGCCGGUGAAGUGGAUGUCACUUGAAUCUAUUCUUGACCAAGUUUUUACUUCAUACAGUGAUGUCUGGGCGUAUGGUAUUGUUUUGUUUGAAAUUGUUACCCUUGGUGGAACACCAUAUCCGACAUUAAGCAAUCGAGAACUUUUAAGUUUUUUAAAGGCUAAUUGUAGAAUGGAUCGGCCAGAAAAUUGUUCUAGUGUAGUGUACGAUAUCAUGCUGAACUGUUGGAAUAAAGAUCCAUUACUGCGGCCAACAUUUACUGAAUUACGCAAUAAAGUUGAACAAAUAAUAUCACAAGGUGGUCGUUAUUUGAGCUUUGAUAUUAACGAAGAAAGUCCUUAUUACAAUGUUCCCUCUUUUAAUAGCGUCGGAUCCGAAACAGGCAUACACUAAGCAUUUUAUUAGAACUGCUAGUCUAUUAAAAUAAUAAAAACUUUAUGUA
This is a long non-coding RNA of Hydra vulgaris (swiftwater hydra), 986 nucleotides long. RefSeq annotates it as tyrosine-protein kinase receptor Tie-1. The record is from RefSeq and is a predicted model, not a curated record. Lineage: Eukaryota; Metazoa; Cnidaria; Hydrozoa; Anthoathecata; Hydridae.